This 591-nucleotide ribosomal RNA is filed under the name uncultured bacterium. RNAcentral's name for it is "bacterial SSU rRNA". It matches the Rfam family "Bacterial small subunit ribosomal RNA", at positions 335 to 917 of the family's 1533-position model. The record is from RNAcentral.
ACUCCUACGGGAGGCAGCAGUGGGGAAUUUUGGACAAUGGGGGCAACCCUGAUCCAGCCAUGCCGCGUGAGUGAAGAAGGCCUUCGGGUUGUAAAGCUCUUUCGGCGGGGAAGAAAUGGCAACGGCUAAUAUCCGUUGUUGAUGACGGUACCCGCAUAAGAAGCACCGGCUAACUACGUGCCAGCAGCCGCGGUAAUACGUAGGGUGCGAGCGUUAAUCGGAAUUACUGGGCGUAAAGCGUGCGCAGGCGGUUUCGUAAGACAGACGUGAAAUCCCCGGGCUCAACCUGGGAACUGCGUUUGUGACUGCGAGGCUAGAGUACGGCAGAGGGGGGUAGAAUUCCACGUGUAGCAGUGAAAUGCGUAGAGAUGUGGAGGAAUACCGAUGGCGAAGGCAGCCCCCUGGGUUAGUACUGACGCUCAUGCACGAAAGCGUGGGGAGCAAACAGGAUUAGAUACCCUGGUAGUCCACGCCCUAAACGAUGUCAACUAGGUGUUGGAAGGGUUAAACCUUUUAGUACCGCAGCUAACGCGUGAAGUUGACCGCCUGGGGAGUACGGCCGCAAGGUUAAAACUCAAAGGAAUUGACGGA